AUUGAACGCUGGCGGCAUGCCUUACACAUGCCAGUCGAACGGUAACGGGCCUUCGGGUGCCGACGAGUGGCGGACGGGUGAGUAAUACAUCGGAACGUGCCCGAUCGUGGGGGAUAACGAGGCGAAAGCUUUGCUAAUACCGCAUACGAUCUACGGAUGAAAGCAGGGGACCGCAAGGCCUUGCGCGGACGGAGCGGCCGAUGGCAGAUUAGGUAGUUGGUGGGAUAAAAGCUUACCAAGCCGACGAUCUGUAGCUGUUCUGAGAGGAUGAUCAGCCACACUGGGACGGAGACACGGCCCAGACUCCUACGGGAGGCAGCAGUGGGGAAUUUUGGACAAUGGGCGCAAGCCUGAUCCAGCCAUGCCGCGUGCAGGAUGAAGGCCUUCGGGUUGUAAACUGCUUUUGUACGGAACGAAAAGCCUUCUUUUAAUACAGGAGGGUCAUGACGGUACCGUAAGAAUAAGCACCGGCUAACUACGUG
RNAcentral lists this ribosomal RNA (482 nucleotides) under uncultured bacterium. RNAcentral describes it as "partial 16S ribosomal RNA". It matches the Rfam family "Bacterial small subunit ribosomal RNA", at positions 30 to 507 of the family's 1533-position model. The record is from RNAcentral.